Hyaena hyaena (striped hyena) is the source of this 935-nucleotide long non-coding RNA. RefSeq lists it as uncharacterized. NCBI's taxonomy places the organism in Eukaryota, Metazoa, Chordata, Mammalia, Carnivora, Hyaenidae. The record is from RefSeq and is a predicted model, not a curated record. The transcript has 3 exons.
GUCGGGGAAAGGCCUCACAAUAGCGCCGUUGGGCCCACGCCUGGAGGUGGGGAAGGGCCCCGGCUUCGCUUUGGGUAUUGGUCUCUGGGAGGUUUACCUCGUUUGCUGCUCCAGGGGAGGAGGUGGCUCUCUGGCUCAGGCCUGGACCAAUUCUGCUUUUUCCGGCUUUCAAAUGAGAAUGAUAGAAUAUAGAGUCUCAUAACCAGCUUGACAAGUCGGAAUGGUACAUGGGGAAUUCAAGGGCCCACUUUGAGGCCAGGUCCAGCCUGAAGCACAGUGAACAAAAGUUUCCACACAUGAAGAGGAGGAAAUGCAAAUGGAUGUCCAAUCAUUUCCUGUAGCAGAAGCAGGUGAAAGGUCCCUAGGAGAUCUGCAAGGCAGGCAAUACUAGAUAAAUCCUCUUGUUCUAGAUCUUGUGGCAAAAUAUCUUGACUGGUUCCUUUGGCUAGUCUGGAUCAUUUGUAUGGAAGACUACUACUACCUGGAAAAUAAUGAAAACCGGGUUUUAACAUUAGUAAGAGCCCAAGGAGAAGACCCUAAAUUUGGAUUCAUGGAGAACCCUGGUGGUACAGUUGAAGUGUUUUCGCUGGGAAAGCAGGCCGAAAACCAGGCCAGGAGGACCUGUUGGGCGGAGGCCUUUCUGAAGGAGGGAGAAGAGCCUAGCUGCCUCAUAAGGAGACCAGGGAGAAGGCCUUUUGAUGGCUCUAUUGUUCGAAACGCUUGCCCUACAAAUACCACAUUCCUCCCCAGCUCCUGCGCAAGGGCAGAAACUGGGCCGGCUGGGCCGAGCUCGAGGUAGUUGCGGCGCGGGCACCAACCUCUCUCAGCCCGGUCCGCUGCCCCUUGGGGCAGCCACGACGCGCCAUCCCCGUCGCAGGCCCGAAACACACAAAGGAAGCCCCCACCCGUCCUCCGAUGCGGGGACACUCUGGGGA